Molecule: long non-coding RNA, 424 nt
Filed under: Brassica rapa (field mustard)
Lineage: Eukaryota; Viridiplantae; Streptophyta; Magnoliopsida; Brassicales; Brassicaceae
Description: long non-coding RNA (BRAP_LNC000857)
Source: RNAcentral
GGAAAUGGAGACGUCGUUACUUGCUCGGAGGUGGAGAACUCUGAGCUCUUCUUCUCUGUCUUAGGUGGUCUUGGCCAGUUCGGUAUCAUCACUAGAGCUAGGGUUUUGCUACAGCCAGCACCUGAUAUGGUGAAUACUUUAAACUCCAAAAUUAAAAUAAUAUUUCAUAAUCUUAAUUAUAUCUGAAUGAUGUAUUUAAAAAAAAAAAAAUUAUUUAGUAGUGAAAAUUGGUUAUAAAAUGAUUGUAUUAGGUGAGGUGGAUAAGAAUCGUAUACACCGAGUUCGACGAGUUCACUCGGGACGCCGAGUGGCUAGUGAGUCAGAAGGACGAGUCAUCGUUUGAUUACGUGGAGGGAUUUGUGUUUGUCAACGGUGAUGACCCUGUCAACGGAUGGCCUACAGUUCCACUCCACCCAGACCACGA